Molecule: ribosomal RNA, 305 nt
Filed under: uncultured bacterium
Lineage: Bacteria
Description: bacterial SSU rRNA
Rfam family: Bacterial small subunit ribosomal RNA
Source: RNAcentral
UCCUACGGGGCGCAGCAGUGGGGAAUAUUGGGCAAUGGGCGCAAGCCUGACCCAGCAACGCCGCGUGAAGGAAGAAGGCUUUCGGGUUGUAAACUUCUUUUGUCAGGGACGAAGCAAGUGACGGUACCUGACGAAUAAGCCACGGCUAACUACGUGCCAGCAGCCGCGGUAAUACGUAGGUGGCAAGCGUUAUCCGGAUUUAUUGGGUUUAAAGGGUGCGUAGGCGGGCUUUUAAGUCAGCGGUAAAAAUUCGGGGCUCAACCCCGUCCGGCCGUUGAAACUGGGGGCCUUGAGUGGGCGAGAAG